RNAcentral lists this microRNA precursor (57 nucleotides) under Drosophila mojavensis. Its description in RNAcentral is "Dmo-Mir-976_pre stem-loop". Lineage: Eukaryota; Metazoa; Arthropoda; Insecta; Diptera; Drosophilidae. The record is from RNAcentral.
AUUGAUGAAAGCAUCUCCAAUGAGUAUUUCGCAUUGGAUUAGUUCUCAUCGAUGUCG